This 62-nucleotide transfer RNA is filed under the name Anthrenus sp. BMNH 840208. Its description in RNAcentral is "tRNA-Pro". Lineage: Eukaryota; Metazoa; Arthropoda; Insecta; Coleoptera; Dermestidae. The record is from RNAcentral.
CAGAGAAUAGUUUAUAAAAAAUGAUAAUUUUGGAGAUUAUUGAAGGGUUUUCUCUUCUCUGA